GGAGGGUAUAGCUCAGUGGUAGAGUGUGUGCCAGCAUGCACAAGGUCCUGGGUUCAAUCCCCAGUACCUCCA
This 72-nucleotide transfer RNA is filed under the name Vicugna pacos (alpaca). RNAcentral's name for it is "tRNA-Und (NNN) (tRNA-Und-NNN-34-1)". It matches the Rfam family "tRNA". Rfam says of the family: Transfer RNA (tRNA) molecules are approximately 80 nucleotides in length. Their secondary structure includes four short double-helical elements and three loops (D, anti-codon, and T loops). The record is from RNAcentral. Lineage: Eukaryota; Metazoa; Chordata; Mammalia; Artiodactyla; Camelidae.